CCUUCUCUUCCCAGAUAAGAAUGGAGAUUUGAUGGGGACGUCCACUCGCCCUCUCCUCCACCAAGAUGAGCUAGAUGUAGGGAAUGAGGGAAGGUUUCUGGAAGAGGCACGUUAUUAGGACACGACCAAUGCACAUAGAGACACAAAGGAAAAAGGGAUUACAUUUUUUUUUUUUAUUAAUUUAUUAUAUUUAUUUGUCAUAGAAUUCAUUACUUUUUGUUCAAGGUUAACAUACAGCCAUUCAUAUACAGAACAAAGGUUUUUUAUUUUUCAAAAAUUAACUUAGAAAUGUACACUUUUUUGUGAUGAUACCACACGGAGGAGAGGGAAAACAUAAGAUAUUUUCUUCUUUGUAAAAUUCCACCAUCUCUCAGUCUUUCUCUCAUGGUUUCCUCCUUCUUUCGAGUACAGCUGCUGAAUACAGGAACAUCUAGGGCAUGUUCAUUAGGGUCCAUGACCAAAAACGAACCAGAACGUUUUGCAACACAGAAUAAAAAAUAACUUCUUAUUGGCCCAGGUCCAGAGUCCCUCCCCUGUGUCAGUCAGAUUUAUUUCAUGUGGUGCCAAAAUGAACUCGUCCCAGAAACUCACAUAACAGUUAACACAGACUGCUUGGACUGAUGCUGAUUGGUUAAGCAGAACAUCUAGCCAUGGAACAACACACACACUCACGCGAAAGCAGACAAACUCACAUGCUCACAUACACACAAGCCAGCACACACACACCCGCCCACACGCACACGCAGUCGAACAUGGGCUGGUGAUCAGAACAAAAACGACAACAAACAAGCAAAACAAUUCUGAUCAGACAAAGUAACAAAUGUAAAAUAUUGCUGAAGGUGAUAUUUCAAACAAAUCCAACAAUGACAAUUUACAACGCGUGUCAUCAAGGGGUAUGGGGAGACAUCGGAUAUGGUCGUCACACACUGUUGUCAUGACAUCACCUUCCUCUACUUAAGGGGGUGGGGGUAAGGUUACCGUGUUGAUUGUCCUUUGUCCUUGGAGUAGACAGCAAGGCUGGACCCCUGCGACACACAUCAAUUGGUUUUCCCGUGACUCACGGCGAUCAUCGGCCAAUUGCGUCGGCCUGAGUGCCUCGAAACAUACCGCAGUCUAGCUAUAGCCAGUGAAUAAACCCUUUCCACAGUGAAAACGUAGAAAAAGAAAACCUAGGAACACAAAACAGAAUUUGUGUGUGUGUGUGUGUUUAGAUGAGUAAGAGCUGGCAGGAAGCCAGGAUGGGUUAAUGGCCUGAAGACAAAACAGAGCACCUGGGACAAUCAGGGGGUGGCGGUCUGAAGCAUAGCACAGCCUGUCCGGUGCCAAGGUGGCAGGACUGUACGUGUGUGUGUGUGUGUGUGAGAGAGCGUAUGAGUGACUGUUUUUCAGUGUCUCUGGCACCAGACCCCCUUGUCAUCCAGUGGACCUUGGCCUUAACACUCUCAAGGGCAAGAUGGACCGCUUGUGCGUGUGUGCGUAAAGACGUCAUCCAUCCUUUUCUCUAGGAAGUCAGUAGAGAUGGGACAGGCAGUUAAUGACAACAAUUGGGUUUCUGUAUAGAAUGUCACCCUGCCCGUGUGUGCGUGUGUGUGUGCGCGCGCGCCGCGUCAGAAGGCAAAUCGUGCUUGGAGGGAGAAUAGGCCACCUUGUGGUUUCUGGGAGCUGAACAAAAUCAAAGCCUGUAUAGAAUACAACCGGUUAGCCUACUGUAAGCCCAUGAAGAAAAAACUAACUUGAAACGGUUGGCAGAAUUAGCCUAGACGUCGCUAACCAUUGUCUUUACCAUUGUCAAUGCAACACUAGUUAGCCAAAUGUGUGUGGCUAUUGCUAACUUCUCUAAAAUUAUCAAUGCCACACUGGUUAGCAAAAUUAGCCUUGCCACUGCUAACUUCCAUUCAACGUUAAAAGCAGCAAUGGUUAGCCUUCUUUACAAUGAUCAAAAACCGACAAAGAAAAACCAACAAAAACAAUCUGUAACCCACAUUCAAUACAAAAACACUUCUCAUUCACUGUAAGGUGCAAUUAAUUGUUUCAGACAGAAAUACAGCAAUCGCCAUCUGAGAUGUAAUUCCGCAUGCAAAAAUAAGCUUGUGUGUUAAAACAACGGACUCUCACUCUUUCAUCACCUCAGAAGUGAGAAUAAUUGAGGAAACACAGGGGAGAACCUCAGUACAAACAUUGAAAGAGUCAGAAGAAAAAUAAAACCAUAAUCCCAGUGUGGCACCAGUCAGAAAGGGGUUUUCCACCUGUCCACCCUCUUGCAGUACCAGUCAGAAGUGGUUUUCAAUCAUCUCCUCCGGACCCUCCCGUCGACUCACAUUCUCGUUGUAGACCUGAACUAGCUCACCCGAAUCAAGCGGCCAUGGGCUCGAUAAUAAGUAACAAGUUGAUUCAGGGGAGCCGGCUCUGAAAUAAAUUCGAAUACAUUAACCGGCUGGAGGUCCCUAGGACGGGUUUGAGAACCGCUGUCCCGCAGCAUGUCGAGAUAUUUCGAUUAUUCUCCUUGGUUCCGCGCCCAGAAAGGCCGGAACUGGUUCAGAGUGGUUGAGACGGACAAUGACAGACAGUUGACAUUCACUGAACAAUGAGAUCCUUUAGGGGCCAAACAGAGGACAGUCAGGGCGGACAAAGUAGCUACAGUAGUCAGACGGGCCAUUUAAAUGUAAUCAGCCACAGGGUGUGUGUGUGUUUGUCCCAACCAGAAAGCAUGUCGGAUUUCCAACUGAGAGGCAUCAUGAAAGAACGACCCCUCACUCAUGACAAAAUAGCACAAAUAGCACAGGAAGUUAAGGUGGUUAAGGUUACUGAAAACAUACAUAAUAGCAUUACAAUGAUUGGCAACUGAGUAGUUUUGACCCAAAAUGAUCAAGGAAGGGUAGGUGCAGAGCUCUUUGUUUCAAUGGCGUGGGUAAGAUUCUGUAAUUGGAAUAAAACACCACUACUGUACAGAAGGGGCACAAGGCUUCAUUGACAGCCGUUGUUUUGACCCAAAAUGGCAGAACAGUCCCUUCUCGUUUUGAAGGCGGAGCUGGAACAUAAAGUGGAACGACACUCUACAGAACAAGCAGAAGGCGGGUAGUACUAAGAGCUUUCUGACACCUUUAAAAGACAUUAAACAAGAAGCUGCCAUGUGUGAGGUAAAAAACUAAAAUGAAAGUAAAAUACAAAACCAGAAACAAAUGACCGCGACCCUCACCCUUUUCUCAACUCAUGGUGACAAUAAACCAGAGUUCAAAAAAGAACAAGAUGACUAAAUUACACAUGAAAGUGCAAACAAAAUGAAUUUAAAAAAUGUCCUCAUACAGUAUGUGAACAGUUUUUCUUUAGUUCCACCCAGUGCAUCAAUAGAAAAAUGUCCACUUCUGUUAACACCGUGUUGCUCUCUGUUCCUGUCUGACAUAGUUUUCGGCCGGAGGCUUGCUUUCACUUCCUCUGUCAACCUUUUUCUCUUGCAUUCUUUCUUUCUCUCGCUCUCCUGUCUCUUUCCAACCCCCAUCUCUUCUCAGUCUCUCUUCAUCUCUCUUCAGUCCAACAAGUCUUUAACUGUGAACUCUGUGUCCGAGGGGUGGUUAGGUGUGUGUGCGCGCCCAAGCACAGGAAGGAUUAAGGUUAAAUGUUAACACACACCACAUGCACACACAUUCACCGCACACACAGAAACUGAACUAAGGGCGUGUGAUGGACAGCCAUGUGUUAUGUUUAUGUUUGUUUGUGUGUGUAUAUAAAUGUGCGUGUGUGCGUAUGUGUGUGUGUGUGUGUGUGUCUGAGAGUCCAUCUGUCGCUCUGAUGCUCCAAUGUUGACUCUUUGAUCUGCGUUGACACAACAUAUGGCCUCCUGGUUCUUCUCCCUCCCUCCCUCCCUCCCUCGAUCCCUCUCUCGAUCUCUCUCUCCACUUUCCAAGCCAACAGUCUGUCCUGAUAGAAAGCGUCUGUGGAGACACCUCCCAAACGGCCCCCCUGUUCCCUGCAUAGGGCUCCCGCAGGACUCUGGUGAAAACCAGUGCACUGUGUGGGGAAUAGUGUGGCAUUAGGGACAGAGGCAGACAUUCAUACCACUAAUAUUCUACACAGCGUCAGUUGUUAUUCAUGUUGUCAUCACACCAGAACACUGGACAUUUUCUAACCGACGUUACCCCAGUUUAACGUUGGAGGACGCGCACUGACAUUGUUGUUUUAAAUUCGAUAUUACAUAAGGUAGCUACCCGGUAAUGUUUGAAUAAAGGGAAGGUAGCUACCCGGUAAUGUUUGAAUAAAGGGAAGGUAGCUACCUGGUAAUGUUUGAAUAAAAGGAAGGUAGCUACCCGGUAAUGUUUGAAUAAGGGAAAGGUAGCUACCCGGUAAUGUUUGAAUAAAGGAAAGGUAGCUACCCGGUAAUGUAUGAAUAAAGGAAAGGUAGCUACCCGGUAAUGUUUGAAUGUGAGUGGAGAGUAGACCAUGUUAGCGGUUGGACAAAAGGGUUUGGGCUAAGGCAAGGGUUCAUGACGAUACAUCAGUCAUUGAGACGCAAGCAAACUAACACACACACACAAACAUUUCACUCUGAAGGGCUGGAAAGGUACUCCUCACACACACUCUUAAGGAGUAACUGGAUUGUCACAUUACGGCACAUUCAGAAACUACAUCUGCUACCACGGCAACCUCUCCGUCACAAUGACAAGAACCAGGGAUGGAGGGAGAUGAAGGGAGAUAUGGGCGGAACAGAGAAACACCUGAACCCCCGGACCCACCCUGACCCCCAGACCCACCCUGACCCCCGGACCCACCCUGACCCCCGGACCCACCCUGACCCCCGGACCCA
Esox lucius (northern pike) is the source of this 4798-nucleotide long non-coding RNA. The record is from Ensembl. Lineage: Eukaryota; Metazoa; Chordata; Actinopteri; Esociformes; Esocidae.